AACGUAGGGGACGAGUGUUAUCCGGAUUCAUUGGGCGUAAAGCGCGCGCAGGUGGUGUUUUAAGUUGGGCGUGAAAUCUCCCGGCUUAACUGGGAGGGGUCGUUCAAUACUGAAGCACUUGAGGGCAGGAGAGGGAGGUGGAAUUCCCGGUGUAGUGGUGAAAUGCGUAGAUAUCGGGAGGAACACCAGUGGCGAAGGCGACCUCCUGGCCUGCUCCUGACACUAAGGCGCGAAAGCUAGGGGAGCGAACGGGAUUAGAUACCCUCGUA
This 269-nucleotide ribosomal RNA is filed under the name uncultured prokaryote. RNAcentral describes it as "partial 16S ribosomal RNA". It matches the Rfam family "Bacterial small subunit ribosomal RNA", at positions 524 to 792 of the family's 1533-position model. The record is from RNAcentral.